Molecule: transfer RNA, 69 nt
Filed under: Cryptolestes pusillus
Lineage: Eukaryota; Metazoa; Arthropoda; Insecta; Coleoptera; Laemophloeidae
Description: tRNA-Gln
Source: RNAcentral
UAUGUUCUAGUAUAAGAUGUACAUAAAUUUUUGAUAUUUAAGGAAAUAGUUUGAUUCUGUUGAACAUAA